Molecule: ribosomal RNA, 420 nt
Filed under: uncultured bacterium
Lineage: Bacteria
Description: bacterial SSU rRNA
Rfam family: Bacterial small subunit ribosomal RNA
Source: RNAcentral
GGAAUCUUCCACAAUGGACGAAAGUCUGAUGGAGCAACGCCGCGUGAGUGAUGAAGGGUUUCGGCUCGUAAAACUCUGUUGUUGGAGAAGAACAGGUGUCAGAGUAACUGUUGACAUCUUGACGGUAUCCAACCAGAAAGCCCCGGCUUACUACGUGCCAGCAGCCGAGGUAAUACGUAGGCGGCAAGCGUUGUCCGGAUUUAUUGGGCGUAAAGCGAGCGCAGGCGGUUUUUUAGGUCUGAUGUGAAAGCCUUCGGCUUAACCGGAGAAGUGCAUCGGAAACUGGGAAACUUGAGUGCAGAAGAGGACAGUGGAACUCCAUGAGUAGCGGUGAAAUGCGUAGAUAUAUGGAAGAACACCAGUGGCGAAGGCGGCUGUCUGGUCUGUAACUGACGCUGAGGCUCGAAAGCAUGGGUAGCG